CACACCGUAAACGAUGAUUACUAGGUGUUGGAGGAUUGACCCCUUCAGUGCCGCAGUUAACACAAUAAGUAAUCCACCUGGGGAGUACGACCGCAAGGUUGAAACUCAAAGGAAUUGACG
Molecule: ribosomal RNA, 120 nt
Filed under: uncultured bacterium
Lineage: Bacteria
Description: partial 16S ribosomal RNA
Rfam family: Bacterial small subunit ribosomal RNA
Source: RNAcentral